AUACGUAGGGGGCGAGCGUUAUCCGGAAUUAUUGGGCGUAAAGAGUAUGUAGGUGGUCUCUUAAGCGCAGGGUAUAAGGCAAUGGCUCAACCAUUGUUCGCCCUGCGAACUGAGUGACUUGAGUGCAGGAGAGGAAAGCGGAAUUCCUAGUGUAGCGGUGAAAUGCGUAGAUAUUAGGAGGAACACCAGUGGCGAAGGCGGCUUUCUGGACUGUAACUGACACUGAGAUACGAAAGCGUGGGGAGCAAACAGGAUUAGAUACCCUGGUAGUCCACGCCGUAAACGAUGAGCACUAGGUGUCGGGGUCGCAAGACUUCGGUGCCGCAGUUAACGCAUUAAGUGCUCCGCCUGGGGAGUACGCACGCAAGUGUGAA
RNAcentral lists this ribosomal RNA (374 nucleotides) under uncultured bacterium. RNAcentral describes it as "bacterial SSU rRNA". It matches the Rfam family "Bacterial small subunit ribosomal RNA", at positions 523 to 898 of the family's 1533-position model. The record is from RNAcentral.